CGCUACACUCCUACGGGAGGCAGCAGUGGGGAAUAUUGCACAAUGGGGGAAACCCUGAUGCAGCCAUGCCGCGUGUGUGAAGAAGGCCUUCGGGUUGUAAAGCACUUUCAGUAGGGAGGAAGGUAGUGUAGUUAACACCUGCAUUAUUUGACGUUACCUACAGAAGAAGCACCGGCUAACUCCGUGCCAGCAGCCGCGGUAAUACGGAGGGUGCGAGCGUUAAUCGGAAUUACUGGGCGUAAAGCGCAUGCAGGCGGCCUGUUAAGUCAGAUGUGAAAGCCCGGGGCUUAACCUCGGAAUUGCAUUUGAAACUGGCAGGCUAGAGUCUUGUAGAGGGGGUAGAAUUUCAGGUGUAGCGGUGAAAAUGCGUAGAGAUCUGAAGGAAUACCAGUGGCGAAGGCGGCCCCCUGGACAAAGACUGACGCUCAGAUGCGAAAGCGUGGGGAGCAAACAGGAUUAGAUACCCUGGUAG
This 472-nucleotide ribosomal RNA is filed under the name uncultured bacterium. Its description in RNAcentral is "bacterial SSU rRNA". It matches the Rfam family "Bacterial small subunit ribosomal RNA", at positions 329 to 793 of the family's 1533-position model. The record is from RNAcentral.